This 93-nucleotide transfer RNA is filed under the name Caudoviricetes sp. Its description in RNAcentral is "tRNA-Ser". It matches the Rfam family "tRNA". From Rfam's summary of the family: Transfer RNA (tRNA) molecules are approximately 80 nucleotides in length. Their secondary structure includes four short double-helical elements and three loops (D, anti-codon, and T loops). Lineage: Duplodnaviria; Heunggongvirae; Uroviricota; Caudoviricetes. The record is from RNAcentral.
GCAGUCUUACUCAAGCGGUCGAAGAGGGUGGUCUUGAAAACCACUAGGCGUUGACAACAACGCACAUGGGUUCGAAUCCUAUAGGCUGCGCCA